ACCCAAACAUACACAUGAAUCCCCCUUCCCUCCUCUCCUCUCAUCUACCAAAAAUCAAACCCCCAAAAAAUAGAAUACAUCUCCGGCGGUACAAUUUAUAGAUGCUUCCUUUCCCCAAAUCCCCCAACCCUAAACCCAAAAAAAUACACACAAUAUAUCGAUGGGCGUCUCUCUCUGAUUCCUCAUCAUCACUAACAACCACAGUCGACGGAUUCUUCAUCACCACCAACACAGCCUUCUGGUAACCAUAUCGCCGUCGGUUCAUCAUCACCACCACCACAUAUGUCUUACACCAUAACAGAUACCACCGCAUCCAACAUCUCCCCGAUACAUACAUCGAGUUUCUAAAGAUGGUGUGAGGCAAUACGCAGUUAAGAACAGUUUGUGCUUUUCAAUGCAUUUUUUGGAUUUUUUGAUUUAUUACAUAAUUUGUUCUUACGCAAUACAUGUUUUUUUGUUUUGUUUCAGUCUCUAAUUUUUCCGAUUCCUACUUGAUAAAUCCCAAAAAAUCAAUUGAUCCCAUGAUAUUGUGUUUUGACCAUUUUUAUGGCUAUUAAAUGUCGUUUUUCAUAUUUUUAGUUAGAUAUAGCUACAAAAGACCUAUGUUGGUUUAGUUUUCAGAUAGUUUUUCGUUAGAUCUUUGUAAUAAAAGUCACUCUGCUCUGUAUUUCAUUCCAAUUUUGAUUAAUGAAAUUGAUUGUUUGUCAAACUGCCUAGCCGUUUCACGUAACGGAAUUUAUAUGUCCAAUGUUUCGUCUUUCAUUAGAAUAUUCACCAUAAUAACUUAUUAUUUGUCCCUCGCAGUAUUUUUGGCACCUGGCCAAUUAUUAUGCUUAUUACAGUCUACGUCCUUGAUUAGCUUAAUGUUUUUAUUUUAUAUAUUGAGGUGUAUGACGGGCACAAAUACAUUGACGUUUUUGAGCAAAUUUGCGAGGACGAUAUUUGGUACAACAUUUCAUCUGGCAGAGUCCACUACGUGUGUAUAACCUUGACGACACCGACUUCCGUACUUGCUAUUGUUUCUUAUUGAUAAAUAUGUAAGCUACUUUGUUGAGAGCUAAUCAUGUUGAUCUUGAUAGAUACGGGCCAUCCGCAUUCAUUUAAUCCACACUACAUGCUCUAUAUGGAGAAUGAUCAGAGCUCAACCUUGGCAGAGAAAGCCUGCAUGCAUACUGUAAGAAGUGGAGUUUGGCGAAAGCAGUUUCAGCAGAGAGUAUGUCAACUGAUGAAGCACAAUGCUGCAUCCAUCCAUCAAUGCCCUGCCAUAAAAACGAAACCCAUUGAUGUUGUGUGAUUUAGGUUUCAAGUAAUAUGGGUUUAUUCACCUCCUAUCAAUCGGUGGAAGCCAUCUUGAUGAACUCCUCGUGGCUCUGAUCAUGUAAUUCAUGUAACAGACACCUGCAGAGAACAAACAUUAAAGUUUUCAGCUCGGUAUAUAAUUUAAGUGUAUAAGUAUUAGUUAAACAUUUUUAUCAGGAAAAAGUAGAAUUAGAGGAGAAUAUGAUGUUUUUAUGAAACAAAAUGUGUAUGAAUUCAACCAUGAGUAGAAGUAUUUUUUAUACUGAUUAUUAGUGUCUCCACGUCAA
Erigeron canadensis is the source of this 1586-nucleotide long non-coding RNA. RefSeq lists it as uncharacterized. The transcript has 3 exons. The record is from RefSeq and is a predicted model, not a curated record. Lineage: Eukaryota; Viridiplantae; Streptophyta; Magnoliopsida; Asterales; Asteraceae.